AGAGAAGAGAAACUUGCCUUGUUA
This 24-nucleotide non-coding RNA is filed under the name Arabidopsis thaliana (thale cress). The record is from RNAcentral. Lineage: Eukaryota; Viridiplantae; Streptophyta; Magnoliopsida; Brassicales; Brassicaceae.